RNAcentral lists this ribosomal RNA (253 nucleotides) under uncultured bacterium. RNAcentral's name for it is "partial 16S ribosomal RNA". It matches the Rfam family "Bacterial small subunit ribosomal RNA", at positions 524 to 776 of the family's 1533-position model. The record is from RNAcentral.
UACAGAGGUCUCAAGCGUUGUUCGGAAUUACUGGGCGUAAAGGGUGCGCAGGCCGCGCGGGCAGUCAAAUGUGAAAUUCUGUGGCUCAACCUCAGAAUUGCGCUUGAUACUUCCGCGCUAGAACCUUGGAGAGGGAUCUGGAAUUUUCGGUGUAGCAGUGAAAUGCGUGGAUAUCGAAAAGAACACUUAGGGCGUAGGCAAGAUCCUGAACAAGUGUUGACGCUCAUGCACGAAGGCUAGGGUAGCGAACGGG